AUUGAACGCUGGCGGCAGGCCUAACACAUGCAAGUCGAGCGGAUGAAGGGAGCUUGCUCCUGGAUUCAGCGGCGGACGGGUGAGUAAUGCCUAGGAAUCUGCCUGGUAGUGGGGGAUAACGUCCGGAAACGGGCGCUAAUACCGCAUACGUCCUGAGGGUGAAAGUGGGGGAUCUUCGGACCUCACGCUAUCAGAUGAGCCUAGGUCGGAUUAGCUAGUUGGUGGGGUAAAGGCCUACUAAGGCGACGAUCCGUAACUGGUCUGAGAGGAUGAUCAGUCACACUGGAACUGAGACACGGUCCAGACUCCUACGGGAGGCAGCAGUGGGGAAUAUUGGACAAUGGGCGAAAGCCUGAUCCAGCCAUGCCGCGUGUGUGAAGAAGGUCUUCGGAUUGUAAAGCACUUUAAGUUGGGAGGAAGGGCAGUAAGUUAAUACCUUGCUGUUUUGACGUUACCAACAGAAUAAGCACCGGCUAACUUCGUG
This 484-nucleotide ribosomal RNA is filed under the name uncultured bacterium. RNAcentral describes it as "partial 16S ribosomal RNA". It matches the Rfam family "Bacterial small subunit ribosomal RNA", at positions 30 to 507 of the family's 1533-position model. The record is from RNAcentral.